GGUGGUUUUCAGGUGAUGCACACCAGAAAUCGGGCUCCCUCUUCUCUGGUUCUGGGUGCAUCACCCAAGACCCGCA
Myotis lucifugus (little brown bat) is the source of this 76-nucleotide non-coding RNA. The record is from Rfam. Lineage: Eukaryota; Metazoa; Chordata; Mammalia; Chiroptera; Vespertilionidae.